Molecule: ribosomal RNA, 669 nt
Filed under: uncultured bacterium
Lineage: Bacteria
Description: bacterial SSU rRNA
Rfam family: Bacterial small subunit ribosomal RNA
Source: RNAcentral
AGAGUUUGAUCCUGGCUCAGGACGAACGCUGGCGGCGUGCUUAACACAUGCAAGUCGAACGGAAAGGCCCUUCGGGGUACUCGAGUGGCGAACGGGUGAGUAACACGUGGGUGAUCUGCCCUGCACUUUGGGAUAAGCCUGGGAAACUGGGUCUAAUACCGAAUAUGACCAUGCACUUCCUGGUGUGUGGUGGAAAGCUUUUGCGGUGUGGGAUGGGCCCGCGGCCUAUCAGCUUGUUGGGGGGGUAAUGGCCUACCAAGGCGACGACGGGUAGCCGGCCUGAGAGGGUGACCGGCCACACUGGGACUGAGAUACGGCCCAGACUCCUACGGGAGGCAGCAGUGGGGAAUAUUGCACAAUGGGCGCAAGCCUGAUGCAGCGACGCCGCGUGAGGGAUGACGGCCUUCGGGUUGUAAACCUCUUUCAGCACAGACGAAGCGCAAGUGACGGUAUGUGCAGAAGAAGGACCGGCCAACUACGUGCCAGCAGCCGCGGUAAUACGUAGGGUCCGAGCGUUGUCCGGAAUUACUGGGCGUAAAGAGCUCGUAGGUGGUUUGUCGCGUUGUUCGUGAAAACUCACAGCUUAACUGUGGGCGUGCGGGCGAUACGGGCAGACUUGAGUACUGCAGGGGAGACUGGAAUUCCUGGUGUAGCGGUGAAAUGCGUAGA